This 449-nucleotide ribosomal RNA is filed under the name uncultured bacterium. RNAcentral's name for it is "partial 16S ribosomal RNA". It matches the Rfam family "Bacterial small subunit ribosomal RNA", at positions 29 to 523 of the family's 1533-position model. The record is from RNAcentral.
AACGAACGCUGGCGGCAGGCUUAGCACAUGCAAGUCGAACGAGAUCUUCGGAUCUAGUGGCAGACGGGUGAGGAACACGUGGGAACAUCCCUUCCAGUUCGGAAUAACGUUGGGAAACUAACGCUAAUACCGGAUACGUCCUUCGGGAGAAAGAUUUAUCGCUGAAAGAUUGGCCCGCGUCUGAUUAGCUAGUUGGUGAGGUAAUGGCUCACCAAGGCUACGAUCAGUAGCUGAUCUGAGAGGAUGAUCAGCCACAUUGGGACUGAGACACGGCCCAAACUCCUACGGGAGGCAGCAGUGGGGAAUAUUGGACAAUGGGCGCAAGCCUGAUCCAGCCAUGCCGCGUGAGUGAUGACGGCCUUCGGGUUGUAAAGCUCUUUUGUCCGGGAAGAUAAUGACUGUACCGGAAGAAUAAGCCCCGGCAAACUUCGUGCCAGCAGCCGCUGUAA